This 655-nucleotide ribosomal RNA is filed under the name uncultured fungus. Its description in RNAcentral is "eukaryotic LSU rRNA". The stretch from base 263 to 416 matches the Rfam family "5.8S ribosomal RNA". The record is from RNAcentral. Lineage: Eukaryota; Fungi.
AGUAAAAGUCGUAACAAGGUUUCCGUAGGUGAACCUGCGGAAGGAUCACUAGUGAUUAAACGGGAAGCGUCUUAACUGACCUUCUCACCCUUCACAUCCACAUACACCCUGUGAACUGUUUGGCUUCAACUCUCGAGUUGGGCUCUCCUAUCGAUAGAUUAGCAAUAGUCUAACGAGAAGAGAGUUCAGCACGAGAGCGGGAGUCAUCAUUUAUACAUACACAAAGUCUAAUGAAUGUAAACGUUUUAUAUAAACAAAAUAAAACUUUCAACAACGGAUCUCUUGGUUCUCGCAUCGAUGAAGAACGCAGCGAAAUGCGAUAAGUAAUGUGAAUUGCAGAAUUCAGUGAAUCAUCGAAUCUUUGAACGCACCUUGCACUCUCUGGUAUUCCGGAGAGUACGCCUGUUUGAGUGUCAUGAAACUCUCACUCCCUACCUUUUCUUAAUUGAGAAGGAAGGGACGUGGGCUUGGACUCUGCUGGUCUUUACGGAUCGGCUUGUCUGAAAUGAAUUAGCUGGAUCCUCUUUGUAAUUGGUUCUACUCGACGUGAUAAGUAUUUCGUCGAGGACAGUCUUAACGGACUGGCCGAGAGAAGAAGAGUCUUUUAGAUCCGCUUCUAAUCCGUACGACCUUUUGGUCUACACUUUUUAUGAUC